CCUGCGGGACGCAGCAGUGGGGAAUAUUGCACAAUGGGGGAAACCCUGAUGCAGCGACGCCGCGUGAGUGAAGAAGUAUUUCGGUAUGUAAAGCUCUAUCAGCAGGGAAGAAGAAAGACGGUACCUGAAUAAGAAGCCCCGGCUAACUACGUGCCAGCAGCCGCGGUAAUACGUAGGGGGCAAGCGUUAUCCGGAUUUACUGGGUGUAAAGGGAGCGUAGACGGCGGUGCAAGUCUGGAGUGAAAGGCAGGGGCCCAACCCCUGGAAUGCUCUGG
This 275-nucleotide ribosomal RNA is filed under the name uncultured bacterium. RNAcentral's name for it is "partial 16S ribosomal RNA". It matches the Rfam family "Bacterial small subunit ribosomal RNA", at positions 338 to 629 of the family's 1533-position model. The record is from RNAcentral.